UGCUCUCUCCCAUAUCCAUAUGAAGGCAAUGGAGGCAUUAGUGGCCAAUACUUCUCAUCCUCAAUUCCAAGUAUAACAGCAUCUUCAGCAAGAAACAGAGUCAUAUGACUAGUGAGAUUAAAGGGGGCAGUAAGCCAUCUACCAGGAGGCACGUUCAGCUGGCCUCCCCCUCUCUUCCCCAGCUUGGAAAUCGCCAAAACCAC
Molecule: unclassified non-coding RNA, 203 nt
Filed under: Hevea brasiliensis (rubber tree)
Lineage: Eukaryota; Viridiplantae; Streptophyta; Magnoliopsida; Malpighiales; Euphorbiaceae
Source: RNAcentral